RNAcentral lists this long non-coding RNA (693 nucleotides) under Bos mutus (wild yak). RNAcentral's name for it is "lncRNA (ENSBMUG00000017657.1)". Lineage: Eukaryota; Metazoa; Chordata; Mammalia; Artiodactyla; Bovidae. The record is from RNAcentral.
CUGUAUAUGAAAACAUGACAGAUGACCAUGGAUUAAGUGCCAACCUUGAGGAUUUACUCAAGAAGGCCUAAGCAACUCAAGAGUGAGAUCCCUAGAAUCUUUCAUGGAGCCUCUGAUUUGGGCCCAAAAGGAAAAGAAAUUCAGAGGAGACAGUGACUCUCAGACUCUCCCUUGUUAAUGAGCAAGAGUUCCCUGGAUCCAAGAGCAGAAAGCUCUGGCUUAUGCACUCAAAAAGCUAAAGCUGACCCAGAAGUUAUGCUUAGAGAAGAAAAAGAAGAAGAAAGAGCCUCUUAUGUAACUUGAAGAGCAUAACGGACCCAAUGAUAAAAACCACUGCCAUGAACUUUUCUGAAGCAUAAUAAAUCUCUGCCAGCCAUUGCCAAGAUCCUGAAAUGGGAGCCAUGUGGAAAGAGGACUGACUUGGAAAUCAGAUUCAGGGUCCUGCCUAGCUUUCUUCCAGAUGAUCCCACCAAUCAGCCAUCUGGUCUCAGGGGAAUACAUGGCUUCCUCCUGACUUCUUUGCAUUUUCCCAGUACCUUUGAUUUUGGAAAUACUAUGAGAAUGAUGGCUACAUUUUUUCAGUGUUGGAAAUUCCUGGUAUGUCUCAGAAGCAAGGAAUCACAGGAUAUCUACUUUUCAGUGGUGAGUAUGCCUCUCACAAAAGCCACACCAUUAUUUAUAAUACCCUAAUUU